UAGGGAAUUUUCGUCAAUGGGCGCAAGCCUGAACGAGCGAUGCCGCGUGAGUGAAGAAGGCCUUGGUCGUAAAGCUCUGUUGCGGGGGAAAAAAGGCAGCAUCAGGAAAUGGGUGCUGACUGAUGGU
This 127-nucleotide ribosomal RNA is filed under the name uncultured bacterium. RNAcentral describes it as "partial 16S ribosomal RNA". It matches the Rfam family "Bacterial small subunit ribosomal RNA", at positions 355 to 476 of the family's 1533-position model. The record is from RNAcentral.